UGACCAUAUCCCGUUGAAACACCUGUCCCCGUACAAUCACCGAUGUUAAGCAACGUUGAGCCUUGUCAGUACCUAGACGGGUGACCGCUUGUGAAUCCCACGUGCUGUAU
Acanthosepion pharaonis is the source of this 110-nucleotide non-coding RNA. The record is from the annotation of a GenBank genome assembly. Lineage: Eukaryota; Metazoa; Mollusca; Cephalopoda; Sepiida; Sepiidae.